Molecule: ribosomal RNA, 253 nt
Filed under: uncultured bacterium
Lineage: Bacteria
Description: partial 16S ribosomal RNA
Rfam family: Bacterial small subunit ribosomal RNA
Source: RNAcentral
UACAGAGGGGGCAAGCGUUAUUCGGAAUUAUUGGGCGUAAAGGGCGCGUAGGCGGCUUGGCAAGUGGAAGGUGAAAUCCCUCGGCUUAACCGAGGAACUGCCCUCCAAACUGCUUCGCUUGAGACCAGGAGAGGUGAGUGGAAUUCCCAGUGUAACGGUGAAAUGCGUAGAUAUUGGGAGGAACACCAGUGGCGAAGGCGGCUCACUGGACUGGUACUGACGCUGAGGCGCGAAAGCGUGGGGAGCAAACGGG